UACGUAGGGGGCAAGCGUUGUCCGGAUUCAUUGGGCGUAAAGCGCGCGCAGGCGGCCAUUCAAGUCAGGGGUGAAAGCCCAGAGCUCAACUCUGGAACUGCCUUUGAAACUGUAUGGCUUGAGUAUGAGAGAGGUGAGUGGAAUUCCCAGUGUAGAGGUGAAAUUCGUAGAUAUUGGGAAGAACACCGGUGGCGAAGGCGGCUCACUGGCUCAUUACUGACGCUCAGGCGCGACAGCGUGGGGAUCAAACAGG
RNAcentral lists this ribosomal RNA (253 nucleotides) under uncultured bacterium. Its description in RNAcentral is "partial 16S ribosomal RNA". It matches the Rfam family "Bacterial small subunit ribosomal RNA", at positions 524 to 776 of the family's 1533-position model. The record is from RNAcentral.